GGUGAACGCUGGCGGCGUGCCUAAUACAUGCAAGUCGAGCGAACAGACGAGGAGCUUGCUCCUUCGACGUUAGCGGCGGACGGGUGAGUAACACGUAGGUAACCUACCUAUAAGACUGGGAUAACUUCGGGAAACCGGAGCUAAUACCGGAUAAUAUUUCGAACCGCAUGGUUCGAUAGUGAAAGAUGGCUUUGCUAUCACUUAUAGAUGGACCUGCGCCGUAUUAGCUAGUUGGUAAGGUAACGGCUUACCAAGGCAACGAUACGUAGCCGACCUGAGAGGGUGAUCGGCCACACUGGAACUGAGACACGGUCCAGACUCCUACGGGAGGCAGCAGUAGGGAAUCUUCCGCAAUGGGCGAAAGCCUGACGGAGCAACGCCGCGUGAGUGAUGAAGGUCUUCGGAUCGUAAAACUCUGUUAUUAGGGAAGAACAAACGUGUAAGUAACUGUGCACGUCUUGACGGUACCUAAUCAGAAAGCCACCGCUAACUACGUG
RNAcentral lists this ribosomal RNA (497 nucleotides) under uncultured bacterium. Its description in RNAcentral is "partial 16S ribosomal RNA". It matches the Rfam family "Bacterial small subunit ribosomal RNA", at positions 28 to 507 of the family's 1533-position model. The record is from RNAcentral.